Molecule: ribosomal RNA, 444 nt
Filed under: uncultured bacterium
Lineage: Bacteria
Description: partial 16S ribosomal RNA
Rfam family: Bacterial small subunit ribosomal RNA
Source: RNAcentral
AAUCAACGCUGGCGGCGCGCUUAACACAUGCAAGUCGCACGAGAAAGGGAGCAAUCCUGAGUAAAGUGGCGUACGGGUGAGUAACACGUGGGAAUCUACCUCUUGGCGGGGAAUAACCCUGGGAAACCGGGGCUAAUACCGCAUAAGCUCGUGAGAGGAAAGCAGCAAUGCACCGAGAGAGGAGCCCGCGGCCGAUUAGCUAGUUGGUGGGGUAAUGGCUCACCAAGGCGAAGAUCGGUAGCCGGCCUGAGAGGGCACACGGCCACACUGGCACUGAAACACGGGCCAGACUCCUACGGGAGGCAGCAGUGGGGAAUCUUGCACAAUGGGGGAAACCCUGAUGCAGCGACGCCGCGUGAGUGAUGAAGCCCUUCGGGGUGUAAAGCUCUUUCGACAGGAACGAUAAUGACGGUACCUGGAGAAGAAGCUGCGGCUAACUACGUG